GUCCAUGCUCUAAUAAUCUUUCGCAUUGAUUAUUGUAACUCUCUCCCACAAGUCGUAUUGGCCUGCUACAGUCUGUAAUGAAUGCUGCAGCAAGACUGAUUUUCCUCUCUAGUCGGUCCUCUCACACCUCUCCCCUCUGUCAGUCCUUACAUUGGCUUCCUGUAUCCUAUAGGAGUCAAUUCAAGGUAUUAAUCCAUACCUAUAAAGCAUUGUCUA
This is a non-coding RNA of Pelobates cultripes (western spadefoot toad), 216 nucleotides long. The record is from the annotation of a GenBank genome assembly. NCBI's taxonomy places the organism in Eukaryota, Metazoa, Chordata, Amphibia, Anura, Pelobatidae.